Molecule: non-coding RNA, 862 nt
Organism: Paramormyrops kingsleyae
Lineage: Eukaryota; Metazoa; Chordata; Actinopteri; Osteoglossiformes; Mormyridae
Source: RefSeq, a predicted model, not a curated record
UCGCCGAACCCGACGGCAAAGCUAAAAGAGCUCGACUUUCCGCAAAUAGAAAAAUUAAGUAUUCUCUGUUAAAAAAUUAACGAUAUAUUUGAUGCAGUAACCAGUAUUAUACGUAUAACCUAAAACGCGAAAGAAAUGUCCGAAUAACCUCUACAUAUGGGACGUUAUUUCCGAUGCAUUCGUCAUUCUCCUGUUUCACAAGAAGGACUCUACCAGAAGAUAUGCCAGUUUGGAGAGUGAGCACAGGAAUUUACCCAUAAGAAUACACGGACCAAAGCUACCAGGGCAGAAAUGGCUGCUGAAUCAUCCUCUUCAGCUGAAGGCAUGUAUGCUCCAUUCCUCCCCAUAUAGACUGGGAGUAACAUUGUGAUGAGCAGAUUUUUGAUGGGGGAAUAGUGAUUUUUGUUUUUUUACAACCUGCAUAGAUACAGUUUAAUAGCAAAAUGCUACAUUUCACUUUACUUUGGUACCAACUGAGGCUCAUUUUUAGUUGCUAAUGCCAAUGUCAAGAGAAAGUAUUCAAGCCUCCUGCCAGAACAAAUCAACAACAUUAAGGACUCACUGCCAGUGAAGGUGUUCCCUGUGGUCACAUCCCUGUGAAACUACUGCUUUAACACCAUUCUUAUGAUGUGUUGCUCAGCAUAGUUCUGCAACACUGCCAAAUUACAUCUUAUUUAUAUCUUGCAAGUAUACCAGUGCAGUAAAAAGUCAAGAUGCAAUAAUUCUGAGGUUGUGGAAGAGGAAGGGGUAAAAUUGCUACUUAUUUUUAUUCUGCAUUCGUAUAGAGUAUAAUAUAAGUUUUCAUGCCCCUGGGCUGUGAGGUUAAACCAGAUUAAGCAUCCAGUUGUUCUAGAAAGUAAAA